This 497-nucleotide ribosomal RNA is filed under the name uncultured bacterium. RNAcentral's name for it is "partial 16S ribosomal RNA". It matches the Rfam family "Bacterial small subunit ribosomal RNA", at positions 28 to 507 of the family's 1533-position model. The record is from RNAcentral.
GAUGAACGCUGGCGGCGUGCCUAAUACAUGCAAGUCGAGCGAACAGACGAGGAGCUUGCUCCUCUGACGUUAGCGGCGGACGGGUGAGUAACACGUGGAUAACCUACCUAUAAGACUGGGAUAACUUCGGGAAACCGGAGCUAAUACCGGAUAAUAUAUUGAACCGCAUGGUUCAAUAGUGAAAGACGGUUUUGCUGUCACUUAUAGAUGGAUCCGCGCCGCAUUAGCUAGUUGGUAAGGUAACGGCUUACCAAGGCAACGAUGCGUAGCCGACCUGAGAGGGUGAUCGGCCCCACUGGAACUGAGACACGGUCCAGACUCCUACGGGAGGCAGCAGUAGGGAAUCUUCCGCAAUGGGCGGAAGCCUGACGGAGCAACGCCGCGUGAGUGAUGAAGGUCUUCGGAUCGUAAAACUCUGUUAUUAGGGAAGAACAAAUGUGUAAGUAACUAUGCACGUCUUGACGGUACCUAAUCAGAAAGCCACGGCUAACUACGUG